AUACGUAGGUGACAAGCGUUAUCCGGAUUUACUGGGCGUAAAGGGCGUGUAGGCGGUCUUGCAAGUCAGAAGUGAAAUUCCUGAGCUCAACUCGGGCGCUGCUUCUGAAACUGCAGGACUUGAGUGCUGGAGGGGAUAGCGGAAUUCCUAGUGGAGCGGUAAAAUGCGCAGAUAUUAGGAAGAACACCGGUGGCGAAGGCGGCUAUCUGGACAGUAACAGACGCUGAGGCGCGAAAGCGUUGGGAGCAAACAGGAUUAGAUACCCUGGUAGGCCACGCCGUAAACGAUGAAUACUAGGUGUAGGGGGUAUCGACUCCCUCAGUGCCGCAGUUAACACAAUAAGUAUUCCGCCUGGGGAGUACGGCCGCAAGGUUGAAACUCAAAGGAAUUGACGGGG
This 397-nucleotide ribosomal RNA is filed under the name uncultured bacterium. Its description in RNAcentral is "partial 16S ribosomal RNA". It matches the Rfam family "Bacterial small subunit ribosomal RNA", at positions 523 to 918 of the family's 1533-position model. The record is from RNAcentral.